Long non-coding RNA from Eptesicus fuscus (big brown bat), 699 nucleotides. RefSeq lists it as uncharacterized. The record is from RefSeq and is a predicted model, not a curated record. NCBI's taxonomy places the organism in Eukaryota, Metazoa, Chordata, Mammalia, Chiroptera, Vespertilionidae. The transcript is spliced from 6 exons.
UUGGGUCAAGUUUCUACACAUUCUAAAUCUUCGUUUUCUGGCUAAUGAAAAGAAAAUAGGAUUCCAAUGAGUCUCCUAUCUACCUAUUCCAGGACUUGUACUUCAGAGGAGGCCGGUGAUGGAUGUGCUGCCCCUACUGGAUGGGCUCCACAGUCUGUCUUCCCACCACUGAGUGGCAGAGAAGAUGACUGAGUUGGCUGGCUGCGCAGGCGCUGGAAAAAGAGGUCAAGUUGACAGGUAAAUUGGAGCCAUCUCUGGAAGGAGAGAGCAUAUGAAGACAAGGAGAGAAUAGGUGACAUGUGACUGUCAGUCCUUGCACUAAGCUGAUGGCAGGAUGGAGCAGACCCUCCAUACUUCAGAGGAGGCUGGUGAUGGAUGUGCUGCCCCUACUGGAUGGGCUCCACAGUCUGUCUUCCCACCACUGAGUGGCAGAGGUGAGAGCCCACUGUGUCAGUCUGUGGAGCAUAUGAAGUUCACACCUCACUUCUGUCUCAGCAGCCCUGGGGGUGACCUCAGCAAGAGCGUGCGUAGCACCUAUGCUAGCCUCUGGGGUGUGCUCUGUGUGGGCCCAGCUCACCCACAGCUCCUCUCCCCCUAUAUCUCAGCCACCUUCCAGGUCCUUCUGCUGGAAGCUCUGGUUCGCUGAGAAUCUUAGACUCCUCUUCCCCCAUGAGCUGUGUGGAAGCUUCAUAUAACAGG